This 191-nucleotide unclassified non-coding RNA is filed under the name Phylloporus sp. RNAcentral describes it as "partial contains small subunit ribosomal RNA, internal transcribed spacer 1, and 5.8S ribosomal RNA". The stretch from base 1 to 46 matches the Rfam family "Eukaryotic small subunit ribosomal RNA", at positions 1786 to 1831 of the family's 1831-position model. Lineage: Eukaryota; Fungi; Basidiomycota; Agaricomycetes; Boletales; Boletaceae. The record is from RNAcentral.
AAGUCGUAACAAGGUUUCCGUAGGUGAACCUGCGGAAGGAUCAUUAACAAAUUCUAAUAUUAACCACCUGUGAACGUAUUAGUUGGGUGUGCGUGACUCACGGUCAAGCCUACUCGACAAAUUAACCUAUUUAAAUGUCUAUUUUAAAAAUAAAAAUAAAACAACUUUUAACAAUGGAUCUCUUGGCUCUU